Molecule: long non-coding RNA, 1309 nt
Filed under: Phoenix dactylifera (date palm)
Lineage: Eukaryota; Viridiplantae; Streptophyta; Magnoliopsida; Arecales; Arecaceae
Description: long non-coding RNA (PDAC_LNC011015)
Source: RNAcentral
AAUUCAAGUUUGAUUUGAUUAUUUAUUGAUUAAGCUUAAUGCAUGCAGGUCGAGUCGAGCUCAAUUAGGUAAAGCCUAAACGGACACUACAUCAUUUCACAAUUUCACAUUCUCCGGAGUCGACUCCAAGAACUCUUCUCCAAAAUUCAGUACUUUCCAAGUUCACCUAAAUUUCUUCCCACUCAUUCCAAUUCUCCUGUUUUAACAUUAAAAAUAAUACAAUCCCUUCGAUCAAUUGUCUCACAGAUCUCAAAAUAUAUCAUCUUUAGCCGCACGGAUCCUAAAGAAUUCUAGCAUUGGCCUCUUCCGGUUCCCAGCCAAAUGAAGCAUGCUCUUAUCUCUUCACGAAUCUAGCCUUACCCCUUCUUCGGAAUAGAAUCCCAUCUUGAUCUCAUGAACUCCCCAACGUCCCAGCAUCUUCCCCUGUUCUGGAAUAGAGUCGCAUGAUCCGUGGGAUAAAAUCAAAACCCAGCCCGCACAACCUCAAACAAACCACGUAUCCUCUGCGUUGAAGCCGUCCCAGCUCCCUUGUUCUGGAUCAGCCUCAUCCGCAAGCCAUCCCGCGAUGCAUAUCUCUUCCUCGGCUUCAUCCUCCCGUGACCCCCGACUCCUUCAUCCACGGAAAAGAUCCAGCUUUAUCCCUUCCUCCCAACUUUCGUUACCAAACUUCAUCCCAACUUCAUCUACAUCUUUCCAAGCUCUCAAUAACGUCACCAGAUCAUCAUCUCCCCUGUCCAAGAUCCUCGUCCGCAUCCUCAUCCCAUGUUUCAUAACAGAACCAAUCCCAGCCGAAUCCUCUUCACCCGAAUUCGUUCUAGAGAGCUCCCAAACAUCCGCAGCCUUCCUCCCAGCUCACGAAUCCGUCCGAGUUCAUCCUUAUCCCACGACCAGCUAGGAUUCAACGUCAUCAUCCCGGCUUCACGAAUCAGCAGACUCGGCAUCCAUCUCCCGAAUCAAGCAGAGCUUCUCCAAGGAUCCGGAUCAGAUCUACAACACUUCCGGAUCAUUUCACGUCCAUAGAUCCAGCCAUUCCCAAACUUCCUUUCUUCCGGAUUGAAUCCAGUAUCCACUGAUAGCUUCAAAUCCCAGCGAAUCAUAUCUUCCCAGAAUUUCUUCCAACCGGGAACAUCAUCCGAACCUUAUCAUCCCCUGUUUUCCAUUCCGUGUUCAUCUUCCACGAUACCUCCUCCCAGAUUUCAUCUGCAUCACCCAAAGAUCUUUUCCCAUUCCGUGAGCAUCAAAGGAUCUUGUUUCAACCGAUUCCCAGUGAACUUCCUUCAUCUCAUUCCGUUCCUAGCUCCCCUGUUUC